RNAcentral lists this transfer RNA (73 nucleotides) under Paramuricea clavata. It matches the Rfam family "tRNA". Rfam says of the family: Transfer RNA (tRNA) molecules are approximately 80 nucleotides in length. Their secondary structure includes four short double-helical elements and three loops (D, anti-codon, and T loops). Further hydrogen bonds mediate the characteristic L-shaped molecular structure. tRNAs have two regions of fundamental functional importance: the anti-codon, which is responsible for specific mRNA codon recognition, and the 3' end, to which the tRNAs corresponding amino acid is attached (by aminoacyl-tRNA synthetases). tRNAs cope with the degeneracy of the genetic code in two manners: having more than one tRNA (with a specific anti-codon) for a particular amino acid; and 'wobble' base-pairing, i.e. permitting non-standard base-pairing at the 3rd anti-codon position. Lineage: Eukaryota; Metazoa; Cnidaria; Anthozoa; Malacalcyonacea; Plexauridae. The record is from Rfam by way of RNAcentral.
GCCUCUGUAGCUCAGUUGGUUAGAGCGCUGCACCGGAAUCGCAGGGCCGUAGGUUCAAUUCCUACCAGAGGAG